This 716-nucleotide long non-coding RNA is filed under the name Lotus japonicus. Its description in RNAcentral is "long non-coding RNA (LJAP_LNC001160)". The record is from RNAcentral. Lineage: Eukaryota; Viridiplantae; Streptophyta; Magnoliopsida; Fabales; Fabaceae.
GAGAACAGUUUUUUCCAUCAACAAUCAUAGUCAAUGCUUUAAAGUCCAAAAAACUCCAGAAGAUCUCACAUAAGAACAGCUUACACUGUAAAACAGAUUUCACUCAAUCAUAAACAAGCUACAUUGGAGAUAUCACCUACGAGAUUGUUAUAAAAAGCGGAAAAAAAAUUCACUAUACAAAUACACUACCAAUGAGAGAUUAGCAAAGAGAAAUUCAUAGUCCAAAUCUUGAAUGUUCCGUCAAGUAUGCAAAAAGGAUGUUUAAACUUCCCCUAUAAGCACAGUCUUAUAAAUUUAACAAAGGAUUUGAAUCAGUUAUUCAACGACCAAAGUAUCAAAAUCAAUCAAUGUAACAGAAAUAACUAGUUAAUGUAUUAUAUUAUUAUGUAUAUUACCUCCUUGAGUGCAAUAUAACAACAUCUUUCUUUCUUACUUUAGCUUCUCCAAACCAAAGAAAUUAGUGCAUCAGUAACAGCAAGCACCAAGCACUAGAUAGUGUGUGUGUGUGAUGAUGAUGAAAGGAAAAAGAUACAAUUGAUCUUCACAUAAUAAACCACUAGCAGAUAACUGAAUCCUGACCAUUCACUAUGAACUAUAUGGUACAAUUUAUGUUAGCAAAGGGGUCCAAUAAUUCCAUUCAUUUUUCCUCGCUCAACCUAAUCUCAACCACAUCAUAAAGUAUAUUUUAUCAUGGCCUAUCUAUAUAUCCUACAUGA